Molecule: long non-coding RNA, 2029 nt
Organism: Triticum aestivum (bread wheat)
Lineage: Eukaryota; Viridiplantae; Streptophyta; Magnoliopsida; Poales; Poaceae
Exons: 4
Source: RefSeq, a predicted model, not a curated record
CUGUCUGUGCCGUCCUGUCGGUCGGCCGGGCACCCCCACUCGCGAAGAAAUGAAAAAAAAGAUAGAUUUGCCCUCGCCGCCGUGGUAACCUAGGGUGUGGGGGACAAAAAGGGGAGAGUGUCGCGGAGGUCGGCCUACAGGACUGCGGCGGCGCCGGUGUUUCCACGUCGGGCUAGCGACGGAUGGACGCCGAGGGUAUGGAGUUCCUGCUUGACGCGGUGGACAGAUUCCCCGUACUGGAGGGAUUUGCUGACAGGCUUGACCACCCAGAUCCAGUUCCACUCCAUUAUCUGCUGGAGAAGGGGAGUGCAACUCAGGAUGUUGGGGAACUGAAUGGUGUUUCUGGGCUGGCUCAAACGGAGGACGAAGGAGCAGCUGCAGACCGACAAGAAGGUGACCAGCGUUUUCGUGAUGAAUAUCCGACGAGGUCCGCUCAAUAGACUGACAGGGUUAAUCCACAAGCCCCCGGAUGGACAAAAAGGCUCCGGCUCGGAAGUGCGCCACCGGACCGAGUGCCAUGCCCAUCGAGGAUGAGUGCUCUCGAGGUUUCAAUCCGCAAAUAUGCAGAGCAGCCUGACAAGAGUGUCGUUAGACCUGAGCUAGGACUCAGUUUUGAUUCGUCGGGCGAGGCAUAUGAUUUCUAUAAUCUAUAUUCUUGAGAAGUAGGUUUUGGCAUAAGAUAUGGAAAAAGCAGACUCAACGCCGAGAGGACAAAAAGCAUGCAGGAAAUAGUUUGUGGUUGCUCGGUGAGUACACUUUUAAUGCAACAAAAUAAAAAUUAAAAACAUAAAUGUGGAAACAAUAGUAAUGACUACGAUCAAGAUUUCUUUUGGAACUAGAGCUGGGCUACUUUUGACAUGUUUGCUGGAUGUUCUAAGGGGAAACCGGAAACCGAAAACAGUCGGUCCUGCAGAUGUGAGUGCCCAGCUCUGAUUAGGCUUCUGCGUGCAUCCGACAACAGCUGGUACAUAACAGAGCAUCGAGCGAGUCACAACCAUUCCAUGUCGCUAACAAUGGGAGAGAAAGUGCACUGGCCUUCUCAUAAACAGAUAGAUGUAUACACCAAGGAUUUGAUAAAGCAACUGAGGGAAAACAAUGUUAACCUUGGGAAGGUAUACAGUAUAAUUGGGAGCUUCUUUGGUUCGGUCGAGAAGGUCACUUUCACGAAGGGGACGCUCAAGAAUAUUUGUGGGAAGAUUAGCCGUGAACAGGCUGAAGACGAUGUCCGGAAGACACUUCAGGCGUUUGCUGACAUCCAGGCCAACGCCAUUGCCAAACUGAUUUCGAAUUUUUUUGAACCGAUCGCUGGCAUCCGAUGGGAGGUUCUCUCGCUGAAUCGGCAAGUAGUGGCACAACCAGAGGGGCGGGGCAUGAUGCGUUCGUGGGAUUGAAUCUUCCCGUGAAUUCUCCCUAGCUUUUUUCUGAACUUCGAAGCGAUCUGUGCAUAUGAUUCAGCGGCACAUCGAUUCUGAAUCAAAAAAUCUCUGCCUGCUGCAGCCUUCACCUCCCUCCCGCAUGGGCUCCGCAUCUAGCGCCUGGAGCACAACGCAUCUGCCAGCCGAUGUCGACGACACUAAUGGAGAGGGCGAGGUCGUCCAGCAAGAUGAGUCUGUCCACCGGCCUCUCACCCAUGAUUUGGGCAGCAUGGUGGGGCAAGAUUCACGGGAAGAAGGAUUUGGUGAUUACGAUCCAGCUGCUGCUCCGGAUUCGCCGCGUAGCACUGGUAGUUCUGCCGUCGACGACCAAUCUGGUGUCAUGUGUGGUGGCAACGUGGAAGACUCUGAAGAUGAGGAGGACAUUAUCAGCAUGCUGCCUAAACACCGCUGUAUAAUAGACUAGAUCGUGUAGCUAAAUGAGAACUGGUAGGUGAUUUGUGUGCUAGAAGAUGUUGGUUAAUUAGUAUCGUUCACGCGUUCCGUUGUGACGGCCCUGUUUGUAAAAUCUACUUCCUUGUUUCAUUUUCACUGGUUGCAUCCUUGAACCUUAAACACGCGGGGAUCCAUUCUGGGUUAUUUUUCUGGCUUUUUAG